CAGAGUUGCAAAACUCCCACAACCCUUGUGAACUAACCGUACCAGGUUGCCUCGGGGCGGCCGGAAGCCCUGGGCCCCGGAUCUCGGGUCUCCGGGGAGGCUGCCCGGAGGACGAAACAAACUCUUGAUUUUAUAGUCUCUCUGAGUACUUAUUCAAUAAGUUA
RNAcentral lists this unclassified non-coding RNA (164 nucleotides) under soil metagenome. RNAcentral's name for it is "partial internal transcribed spacer 1". The record is from RNAcentral.